ACGCUCGACACCUACGUGAGGCAGCAGUCGGGAAUAUUGCGCAAUGGAGGAAACUCUGACGCAGUGACGCCGCGUAUAGGAAGAAGGUCUUCGGAUUGUAAACUAUUGUCGUUAGGGAAGAAAAAGGACAGUACCUAAGGAGGAAGCUCCGGCUAACUACGUGCCAGCAGCCGACGGUAAUCUGAGGCGGGCGUGGCGAAGGC
This 203-nucleotide ribosomal RNA is filed under the name uncultured bacterium. RNAcentral's name for it is "partial 16S ribosomal RNA". It matches the Rfam family "Bacterial small subunit ribosomal RNA", at positions 328 to 538 of the family's 1533-position model. The record is from RNAcentral.